RNAcentral lists this long non-coding RNA (2499 nucleotides) under Rattus norvegicus (Norway rat). RNAcentral describes it as "long non-coding RNA NONRATT010525". Lineage: Eukaryota; Metazoa; Chordata; Mammalia; Rodentia; Muridae. The record is from RNAcentral.
AUUGUUCAGUGACUCACAUGGUGGAGAUUAGAGGACAGCUUGGAGUGUUUUAUGUGGGUCCCUGGGGAUUGACUACAGAUUAGCAGUGGGAAGAGUCUUAACUACUGAGCUAUCUCACUGGUCUUACUUUUUUUGUAUUUGGAGAUGCUGUCUCAUUCUGUUGCCCAGGCUGGCCCAGAACUCAUAGCAGUCUGCCUCCUGCUUCUGCUUUCCAAUGUGCUGAGAUGACUGGCUUGAGCCAUUCUUCCUGGACCAUUGCUUUAUAUGUAUUCAUUGGUUAAUCUUCACAAAAGCCCUGUGAAAUAAGCAGACCACAUUGAGAAGGUUAAUGUAUUAACUGUAAUCUUGGGCAAGUAGAGCCACUAAGAUACUUAUCUUGUCUUCAUUUUCCUAAUGCAAUUUCAUUUCAAAUGCUGAUCUCCAACCUGAGCUCUGUGGCUGUACCUGUAAUCACAGCAUUCUGGAGAUUUGGGGCCAGAGAGACUGUGAGUUUGAGGCUAUUGUAGGAUACAGAGCAAGACCCUGUCAAAAAAGGACAAGUUGAUCCUGUUUUAAUUCAGAUUGUUUUUAAUUUAGUCAAUUUAUUUUAGUAGAUUUAAUUUAAUUUAGUAGAUGUUCAAGAUGUUCAGCCUUGCCCCUCCCGAGUACUAGGAAUAUAGGCCACCAUGAACAUGCCUGGGCUUUUCUGCUUGUUUUGCUUGGUGUUUACAAUGCAGUUUAUUUUAGGGGAAGCCGACACCAGUAUGACACCUUGAACUGAGGACCUUGCAUAUACAAGGCAAGCAUUCUACUGCGGACCCCCAGCCCAUACUUUUGUUUUGAUAUUAUUUCAGUUUGGGCAUUUACUGAAUUUUCUGCUAAUGUUAUUUUGAAAAAGAUAUGAACUCUAGACGGGUUAGAAUUCUUUAUGAAGCUUUUAAUGACGAAUGUAAGUUUGUAUGUGUUUAUACACAGUCAUUUUUCUGGUCAGAAUUUAUAACCACUGUGAAAAUAGUUGUUACUAAGUCUUAUUGCUCUCAGUGUAUGGUUUGGCAACCUCUAAACUCAUUGAAAACAUUUAUGAAUUUAAAGUAUUUUCAUAAUACUAUACAUUACAAUGAAUUUGCCUUCUAUACUGUGUUGUUUAUAGCAAUGGUGAGAAAGAUGUGUCAGUCUGUAGGAGUCUUGGUUGGUGUUAAUCAGUGCAGUGGCACCAGCAUUACUAGUGGUCACAGUAACCUCAGUAACACAUUGGAGCCACUGAGAGCAUGAUGAGGAUGAGGAUGAUAUCUUUUGAGACAGAGUCUCUAUGUAGUCUUGACUGGACUUGAACUCAGAUCACAGUUCACCUGCCUCUGCCUCCUCCCAAGUGCUAGGAGUAAUGGUGUGCACCACCACACCCAGCUAGAACUGACCAGUUCUUCAGAACACCCUUGGCACAGCAGUAAGAAGUGUUACUUUCGGCUUGAAUACCUGGCAGAUAAAAGUUUUAUUACAAAAUGGAAAACACCAAAAGCAUUUCUGCAGCAGGGUAAGGCGUAUACUAUGUAAGGAAGAGCUUUGGUAAAGCUCUUUACAGAGCUGGCUGCUCUCUUUGUUUUAUUUUACUUUAAAGAGCUGACAGCAUACAUUUAAUCCCUGAAGCAGGCAGAUCUCUAUGAGUUUGAGGCUAGCCUGGUCUACAUAGCAAGUUUUACACCAGCCAGGGUUAUACAGUAAAAUCUAAUCUCAAAAAUAAGUAAAGAACUAAUAAAUGGUGCAGGCCAGCAAGACUAAACUUGGAGAGUGGAGUAGGAGGAUCAGGAGUUGGAGGCCACCUUGGGCUGCAGAGUUUACAGCAGUUUGGGCUAUGGGCUUUGUGAAUGCCUAUGUCCAAAAGAAAAAAAGAAAAGGAAAAAAAAAAAAAGAAAGACCUGACAGGGAGUAGUUAUUGAAUUAUUGAAUCAUGGAUAUUUGGUUUUCUCAGAUGAGCAUUGAACCUGUUGAUGUAAUAGUAUUUGUUGACAAUGGUAAAAUUUGAGUUUUCAAGCAAAAGUUGGGGUUUUGGAAAAUGUGUAUGUCAUCAUGGACUUGACAGUUUCAGAUUUUCAAAGGCCUUUCCGAUGAAAUCAGUAGUACUAACAUUGUGUAAUGAAUUGUGUCAGUGCUUUGGAAAAUCUGCAUGUCUAAGUAAUGUGUUACAGGUGACCAGUGCAUGAGGUGUUAGAAGCAUUUGUUGAAGCAAGUAUAAGCAAGGGCUUUGGGACUGAGGAUGCAGGCCACUGCGCUCUUUUCAGGUUACAGAGCUCUAAGAAACUACUGCCUGUCGGGCUAGAGAGAUGCUUUUCCAGGGGUUCUGAGUUCAGAUUCUCAGCAACCACACAGUGGCUUACAACCAUCUCUAAUGAGAUCUGAUGCCUUCUUCUGGGGUGCAUAAAGACAGUAUACUUGUAUAUAGAUAGAUAGAUAGAUAGAUAGAUAGAUAGAUAGAUAGAUAGAUAGAUAGAUAGAUAGAUAGAAUCCUAAAAAAAAAAAAAACAA